UACAGAGGGGGCAAGCGUUGUUCGGAAUUACUGGGCGUAAAGGGCGCGUAGGCGGCCGGCUAAGUCAGACGUGAAAUCCCUCGGCUCAACCGGGGAACUGCGUCUGAUACUGGGUGGCUUGAAUCCGGGAGAGGGAUGCGGAAUUCCAGGUGUAGCGGUGAAAUGCGUAGAUAUCUGGAGGAACACCGGUGGCGAAGGCGGCAUCCUGGGCCGGCAUUGACGCUGAGGCGCGAAAGCCAGGGGAGCAAACGGG
Molecule: ribosomal RNA, 253 nt
Filed under: uncultured bacterium
Lineage: Bacteria
Description: partial 16S ribosomal RNA
Rfam family: Bacterial small subunit ribosomal RNA
Source: RNAcentral